GACGAACGCUGGCGGCGUGCCUAAUACAUGCAAGUCGAACGAACAGCGACUUGAACUUGUUCAAGUCAAUGUUAGUGGCGCACGGGUGAGUAACACGUGGAGAACCUACCCUUAAGCGGGGGAUAACCAUUGGAAACGAUGACUAAUACCGCAUAGAAUCACAGAUCACAUGCUCAAUGAAGGAAAGACGGCUUCGGCUGUCACUUAACGAUGGCUCCGCGGUGCAUUAGCUAGAUGGUGGGGUAAAGGCAUACCAUGGCAAUGAUGCAUAGCCGACCUGAGAGGGUGAUCGGCCACAUUGGGACUGAGACACGGCCCAAACUCCGACAGGAGGCAGCAGUAGGGAAUCUUCCGCGAUGGAGGAAAGUCUGACGGAGCAACGCCGCGUGUGUGAAGAAGGUCUUCGGAUCGUAAAGCACUGUUGUUAGAGAAGAACGACAGGUAGAGUAACUGUGACCGGAGUGACGGUAUCUAACCAGAAAGCCACGGCUAACUACGUG
RNAcentral lists this ribosomal RNA (500 nucleotides) under uncultured bacterium. RNAcentral's name for it is "partial 16S ribosomal RNA". It matches the Rfam family "Bacterial small subunit ribosomal RNA", at positions 28 to 507 of the family's 1533-position model. The record is from RNAcentral.